UGCCAGAAUACCACUCAGGCUUCCUAGAGGUUGUUACAUUGCAGAUGGAUACUAUAUACUUAUGAAUGAUUGACGUUGACUGACAUUUUCUUGAACAUAACCCCUGUCCCUAUAUCUAGGUUGGAAUAAAUGUUGGGAAAAAUGUUUGUUGGAUGCGACAGAAUCCCUCGCAGUGCAACCAAGUGGCUGCAGGAGGGAAAGAGAACGGCCUGAAGGCCUGGGAUCCGGAGAGACCUGGAACACCGGUCUUCACAUCCAAGAAUGUGCGUAAUGACUGGCUGGACCUGCGGGUGCCAGAGUGGGUUCGAGACAUGGCCUUCAUCGCAGACUCAGACAAGAUAGACACCUGCACAGGUCAACACCAGGUGUGAGUAUGAUCCAGCCUCUCCCCAGAGGCGUCCUGUUCUAGAGGCAGUUUGGGGAGUACCCCCCCCACAGCCCUCUCCCUCCCUGCCAGCCAAGACAGUGUUACAGUGGGCAACACGCAUGACCAACUCGCCAUCUUCCGCAGGCCUAGAGUGUGUGGGUGUUUUAAAGGGGCUGGCAGGAGGGGUGUGGGGGCUUCAGUCCCACCCUUCUCUCCCUCUGGUGGGUUCUUGUGGUUUGGAUCACUUUGAGGGUACACAGCCUGGAGGACCGCUCUCUACGGAACAAGGUGUAUAUGAAGUCACGACUCAACUGUGUGCUUCUGUCCAACAGAGAUCUCGAGUACAGGAGUGAACGGAGAUGUGGAGGAAGUAAAAGAAGAUGGAGGAGAACUGGAUGAGGUGUGGAACACAAUGGGGAUGAUAAAAGAGAAGGCGAAGAAAAGAGCAACAGAAGAAUAGGAAGCUGUUGUUGAAGAAGCAGAGAAGAGGAAGCUGUUGUUGAAGAAGCAGAGAAGAGGAGGCUGUUGUUGAAGAAGCAGAGAAGAGGAGGCUGUUGUUGAAGAAGCAGAGAAGAGGAAGCUGUUGUUGAAGAAGCAGAGAAGAGGAAGCUGUUGUUGAAGAAGCAGAGAAGAGGAAGAUGUUGAAGAAGCAGAGAAGAAGACUAAGAAGAGGCAUCAAACACUAUUUAUUUCUGAAACAUAUUAUACCCUUAUAUUAAACUAAAUAUGGCUGAUACCGCAGUAGACACGACCACAACCACCGAGAUUUCAGAAAAGGAGCUCAAAGAGAGGAAAGAGGAGGUGGAGUAGAAGGAGAAUGGCAGUCGGGACGCACCAGCCAACAGCAAUGGAACACACACAAAUGGUGCAGAGAAGAAGACCAAUUGUGCAGAUGAUUCUGAAGAAACCCCUGAGGGUGAGAAGGAAGAGGAGGAUGGAGAGGGACUGGAUGCAGCUAAGGAUGCAGAAUAAGCUGUGAUGAGGAGGUUGACCACCCUGUGAAGCGUCCAGCUGAUGAGGAGGUUGACCACCCUGUGAAGCGCCCAACUGAUGAGGUUGCCCAGCCUGUGAAGCACCCAGCUGAUGAGGUUAACCACCCUGUGAAGCGCCCAGCUGAUGAGGUUAACCACCCUGUGAAGCGCCCAGCUGAUGAGGAGGUUAACCACCCUGUGAAGCGCCCAGCUGAUGAGGAGGAACAAGUGGAAAGAAAAAAACAGAAAACGGUGAAUCAAAGGAAGCUGAAGUGAAGACAUAAUGUGCGGAGUAUGUACUCCUCCGCAACGCUGUCUACAUGGCGUGUUCAACUUCACCUUGAAGAGCUUGUGCUUUAUGUAUGCUUUAAAUAAUGGCACCGGGGGGGUGGCUGCCAUUUUACGGGCUCCUAACCAACUGUGCUAUUUUGUUGUUUCUAACUUAUUUUUUUACUUAUUUUGUACAUAUUGUUGCUGCUACCGUCUUUUUUGACCGAAAACAGCUUCUAGAACAGUGAUUACUCACCUCGAACUGGACAAAGACUUUUUCUUUAACGAAUCCGACGCAGAGGAUAUACUGCAUUCUCGAGACCAGGCCCAAACCCUGUCAUUUGCGAGAAGAAAAGACGGAGAUAAAGGGGGUGGAGGUCGGGCUUCCUUCUGAGAAUUCGUAGGCGAGUGAGUAAACUUCCACUACCAUUCGUACUAUUGGCCAACGUGCAAUCACUGGAAAAUAAAGUGGAUGAUCUACGAUUUAAGAAUAUCCUACCAACGUGACAUUAAAAACUGUACUAUCUUAUGUUUCACCAAGUCGUGGCUGAACGACGACAAGGAUACUAUAGAGCUGGCUGGGUAUUCCG
Molecule: long non-coding RNA, 2198 nt
Organism: Salvelinus namaycush (lake trout)
Lineage: Eukaryota; Metazoa; Chordata; Actinopteri; Salmoniformes; Salmonidae
Exons: 6
Source: RefSeq, a predicted model, not a curated record